GGGCCGGUAGCUCAGCGGUAGAGCACCUGACUUUUAAUCAGAGGGUCGUGGGUUCGAUCCCCACCCGGCUCACCA
Molecule: transfer RNA, 75 nt
Filed under: Chloroflexus islandicus
Lineage: Bacteria; Bacillati; Chloroflexota; Chloroflexia; Chloroflexales; Chloroflexaceae
Also listed under: 5 other names
Description: tRNA-Lys
Rfam family: tRNA
About the family: Transfer RNA (tRNA) molecules are approximately 80 nucleotides in length. Their secondary structure includes four short double-helical elements and three loops (D, anti-codon, and T loops).
Source: RNAcentral